AGCCCUCUACCAGACAGGCAGGAUGUUGAGGAUCCAGGUGUCAUGGCAUCCGGUCCUGCAGCGAGACUGCCAUGUGUGACACCAUGGCUGACAGCCAUGUGCUUCUGAUCCCAUUUUCUGAGCAUUCCUGUGGGCUUCAGCCUAUGAGCCACAUUGCAGCACAGUGAACAGCAAUGAUCCCCAAACAUGGGCUGGUGUGGUAUUCCU
Molecule: long non-coding RNA, 207 nt
Filed under: Homo sapiens (human)
Lineage: Eukaryota; Metazoa; Chordata; Mammalia; Primates; Hominidae
Description: HSALNT0236484
Source: RNAcentral